RNAcentral lists this small nuclear RNA (99 nucleotides) under Octodon degus (degu). Lineage: Eukaryota; Metazoa; Chordata; Mammalia; Rodentia; Octodontidae. The record is from RNAcentral.
UUGCUGCAGCAGCUCAUACACUAAAAGUGGGCGACACAGAGAAGCUUAGCUUGGUCCUACACAAGGACGACACCCAAAUUCACAAUGUUCCUAUGUUUU